RNAcentral lists this unclassified non-coding RNA (221 nucleotides) under Hevea brasiliensis (rubber tree). Lineage: Eukaryota; Viridiplantae; Streptophyta; Magnoliopsida; Malpighiales; Euphorbiaceae. The record is from RNAcentral.
GAUAUUACUAUGAGAAGGACUCUGCUCGGGAGAACAACAAAGAACAAAGAACAUCAAAUUCAAAGCUAAGAAUAGAAGAAGAAUAGAUCUCUCCUCUGCUGCAUAGCAUCUAAUAUAUCAACUUCAUAAAAGCAAUUGGACAGAAUAGAGAUAAGAAAUCUGCUAACCUCUCAUAAAACAAACAUUCCAGCCCAAGUUGUGACCCCAUUAAUGAAUUUCAU